Molecule: ribosomal RNA, 433 nt
Filed under: uncultured bacterium
Lineage: Bacteria
Description: partial 16S ribosomal RNA
Rfam family: Bacterial small subunit ribosomal RNA
Source: RNAcentral
AACGAACGCUGGCGGCAUGCCUAACACAUGCAAGUCGAACGAGACCUUCGGGUCUAGUGUCGCACGGGUGCGUAACGCGUUGGAACCUGCCCUUAGGUUCGGAAUAACUCCCCGAAAGGGGUGCUAAUACCUGAUAAUGUCUUCGGACCAAAGAUUUAUCGCCUUUGGAUGGGCCCGCGUUGUAUUAGCUCGUUGGUAGGGUAAAAGACUACCAAGGCGACGAUCCAUAGCUGGUCUGUGAGGAUGAGCAGCCACACUGGGACUGAGACACGGCCCAGACUCCUACGGGAGGCAGCAGUGGGGAAUAUUGGACAAUGGGCGAAAGCCUGAUCCAGCAAUGCCGCGUGAGUGAUGAAGGCCUUAGGGUUGUAAAGCUCUUUUACCCGGGAUGAUAAUGACAGUACCGGGAGAAUAAGCUCCGGCUAACUCCGUG